Molecule: ribosomal RNA, 650 nt
Filed under: uncultured marine bacterium
Lineage: Bacteria
Description: bacterial SSU rRNA
Rfam family: Bacterial small subunit ribosomal RNA
Source: RNAcentral
CUUCGGGAUGAGCGGCGGACGGGUGAGUAACGCGUGGGAAUGUGCCCUUCUCUACGGAAUAGCCACUGGAAACGGUGAGUAAUACCGUAUACGCCCUCAGGGGGAAAGAUUUAUCGGAGAAGGAUCAGCCCGCGUUAGAUUAGGUAGUUGGUGGGGUAACGGCCUACCAAGCCUACGAUCUAUAGCUGGUUUUAGAGGAUGAUCAGCCACACUGGGACUGAGACACGGCCCAGACUCCUACGGGAGGCAGCAGUAGGGAAUCUUGGACAAUGGGGGCAACCCUGAUCCAGCCAUGCCGCGUGAGUGAAGAAGGCCCUAGGGUCGUAAAGCUCUUUCGCCUGUGAUGAUAAUGACAGUAGCAGGUAAAGAAACCCCGGCUAACUCCGUGCCAGCAGCCGCGGUAAUACGGAGGGGGUUAGCGUUGUUCGGAAUUACUGGGCGUAAAGCGCGCGUAGGCGGAUUGGAAAGUUGGGGGUGAAAUCCCGGGGCUCAACCCCGGAACUGCCUUCAAAACUCCCAGUCUAGAGUUCGAGAGAGGUGAGUGGAAUUCCGAGUGUAGAGGUGAAAUUCGUAGAUAUUCGGAAGAACACCAGUGGCGAAGGCGGCUCACUGGCUCGAUACUGACGCUGAGGUGCGAAAGUGUGGGGAGC